Long non-coding RNA from Myzus persicae (green peach aphid), 1542 nucleotides. RefSeq lists it as uncharacterized. NCBI's taxonomy places the organism in Eukaryota, Metazoa, Arthropoda, Insecta, Hemiptera, Aphididae. The transcript is spliced from 6 exons. The record is from RefSeq and is a predicted model, not a curated record.
UAUAUGAUAUAUAGAUUAUUGUAUUUUUUCAUAAAGAUAGCCUACAUUGCUGCGAUAUUAUGUUGUUACCAUGAACUAAGACUAAGAUAUCUUGAUUUUUUUUAAUAUCUUAGUUCGUGGUUGUUACGUGGCUCGUGAUACUAUUGUUGAACACAGUUCUUAUCUGGUACAAGUAGGUGCAUAGUGUAGGGUCUGUGUUCCAAACUCAAUUUUUCUUGGACACUGUUAUGUGCGUUGGAAAGAAAAUUUUUAUUUUCGAUAGUACACUCAAAUUUAGUCUAUUCUGUGGUACCUACACCUCUGCGAGACUGUCUCAUCAAGACUUCAAAAAUAUUUUAACAACAAUCAAAUCAACAAUUUUUUACCUACCUAGGUUUUACAUAAGCAAGCCAUACUCCUGCGGAGCUUACAUUAGACCUUUCCAUUACCUCUUCAUCUAACCGGUAUCCUGAUGACAUGGAACAAUAUGAUUCUGACGGAGUUGACGAUCGCCCAGAAAUACACCAGUGGUGCCAUUUCUUCGGGUGACUGUUGUUUCCAUAUAAAAUGUUCAUACGAAUAAAAGGAGAAGACGCACGAACUCGCCGAUAGUCGAUACCACGAACAUAGUAAUUAUGUAUCUUUACCUGACUUAAAAUGAGAAUUGGAAGAAAGAUUAUGGGUACCUACAGUACACACUGCACAUGUCUUGGUAGGCAUUUUUUUUCAGACACCAGAAAUGAAUACAACGUUUGGAAAUACGGGCUUGGGAGGGAUUCCAGUUUCUAGCCCUCGGGCCUCCCUGGAGCCUCCUUUAAUGCGACGAUAACAUCUGAAGCAGAGCAGCUGUACUGCAGUAGUAGAGCUCUCGAGAAUACGUCGAAAAAUCGAAAUUAGAUAGAAAACACGCACACUCGCGUAUGUACACACACACACAACAAACACAUACAAAUACUAUUAUUAUACAUUAUUUUAUUAUUUUAUUACGUUAUAUUUACAUGUGCAGCGUGAAAUAUCGAAGAAAAUCAAAAAUCAAAAUAACGUUCGUUCGAAAUACAUGUGUUGUGGGCGCGGCGCGGCUCGCCGUUGGGAGGAUCUACAAGUGUGCGUGUAUAUGUAUAAACGUGUAUGAAAUAAUGAUCGGUGGUCGCGGUGUGCGCCGGCCCAAUGCUUGGCCGCGUCUGUCCGCGCGACAACCGCUGGGGCCCGACGAAACUCGCCGUUUGGGCCGUCGUCACCGCUGGGAGUAGGGACCGAGUCGGGUGUGAGUGUGGGAGAGAGUGAGACGAAGUGAAAAAAAACGUAUAGGUAGGUACGUGUAUACCAGUUGCGGCGCGCGAUGGAGAGAAAAAAGUGAGAUACACGAAAUAGAAAAAAAAAGGGAAGGAAAUCUCGAAUGUUCUCGCGCUCCUCCUCCGCCGCCGCCCCGGAUCGCGCGUCGCGGGUAUCCCCCUUCAAUAAUAUACAUAUAAUAUUGUCGGACCGACAGCGCACUGGUCUGAGAGAGAAAAAACAACAACAAAAUGUUUAAAAAGAAAGAAAACACACACUCACACACAUGCG